RNAcentral lists this ribosomal RNA (400 nucleotides) under uncultured Pimelobacter sp. RNAcentral's name for it is "bacterial SSU rRNA". It matches the Rfam family "Bacterial small subunit ribosomal RNA", at positions 97 to 508 of the family's 1533-position model. Lineage: Bacteria; Bacillati; Actinomycetota; Actinomycetes; Propionibacteriales; Nocardioidaceae. The record is from RNAcentral.
CGAAACGGGGUGAGUAAACACGUGAGUAAAUCUGCCCCUGCACUCUGGGAUAGCCCAUCGGAAACGGUGAUUAAUACUGGAUAUGAGCCAUCUUCGCAUGGGGGUUGUUGGAAAGUUUUUCGGUGCAGGAUGUGCUCGCGGCCUAUCAGCUUGUUGGUGGGGUAAUGGCCUACCAAGGCUUCGACGGGUAGCCGGCCUGAGAGGGUGACCGGCCACACUGGGACUGAGACACGGCCCAGACUCCUACGGGAGGCAGCAGUGGGGAAUAUUGGACAAUGGGCGGAAGCCUGAUCCAGCAACGCCGCGUGAGGGAUGACGGCCUUCGGGUUGUAAACCUCUUUCAGUAGCCACGAAGCGCAAGUGACGGUAGCUACAGAAGAAGGACCGGCCAACUACGUGC